This 396-nucleotide ribosomal RNA is filed under the name uncultured bacterium. RNAcentral's name for it is "partial 16S ribosomal RNA". It matches the Rfam family "Bacterial small subunit ribosomal RNA", at positions 523 to 918 of the family's 1533-position model. The record is from RNAcentral.
AUACGUAGGGAGCGAGCGUUGUCCGGAAUUACUGGGUGUAAAGGGAGCGUAGGCGGGAUGGCAAGUCAGAUGUGAAAACUAUGGGCUCAACCCAUAGACUGCAUUUGAAACUGUUGUUCUUGGGUGAAGUAGAGGUAAGCGGAAUUCCUGGUGUAGCGGUGAAAUGCGUAGAUAUCAGGAGGAACAUCGGUGGCGAAGGCGGCUUACUGGGCUUUUACUGACGCUGAGGCUCGAAAGCGUGGGGAGCAAACAGGAUUAGAUACCCUGGUAGUCCACGCUGUAAACGAUGAUUACUAGGUGUGGGGGGACUGACCCCUUCCGUGCCGCAGUUAACACAAUAAGUAAUCCACCUGGGGAGUACGGCCGCAAGGUUGAAACUCAAAUGAAUUGACGGGG